AACACCCCGCAAAAAAAAAAGUCUUAUCGAUCCCCUCGAGGAGACCGCACCGCCAUCUUGCGAUCUCGAGAAGACGCUGCCGGAUCUCGUGCGAUCUCGCUGGCGCAGACGUACGGGAUUGCCGCCGCGGACGUAAGGGUCACGUCAUAUCUCGUCGCCGAUGAGGUACGGGAUCGCCGCCGCCGACCUUCCUCAAUCUUUUGUCUAGGGUUCCCCGCCUCCGCCGCCACCGACGACGGCGCCAUCACGGAACCUCAGGGCAGGUCAGGUCUCCAAGCAGCUCGUGCUUGUGUGGGGUCGCCGCACUCCGCACACCGCUGCCGUGGCGGAUCCCCGGGGCCGCCGCCGCCGCUGAACCCCAUGGACGAAGUCGUCCCACGAACGGCCGAUGCAGGCACCACAACAGCAGCUCGUUACCGAAAUAUCAGGGGCGCAUAUGAUGUACAGGAUCAUCUCGUCCAUGCCAUGGAACAAAGCCACCUGCUUGACAAGCUCCAAACAGAGGAGUACAAGGAACAAGGGAGCAGGACUUGGAGAAGAAGGGAUCCAAAAAUCGAAAAGGCACUGGACUUGGAGAAAGAGAGAGCGUCGUGGCACAUUCAGUUGCAGAAACAUCAAUUGCUUGAUUUGUGUGUAAAACCUCUAAUAUAAAGGGGAGUACCUAGGUUGUUUCGUUUGUUUCAUUAGUCCCAUCGAUCAAAGCCCACCCCCACCAAACACCCUCCCAAAGGGCUUACCCAGGUCCACCCAUGAAGUCUCUCAAAGCUUCAUAAGUCAACUGGCUUGGUUGAUUCCUCUGGUUCUCCACUACACAUAUUUUUUUCUAGAUUUUUGCAGUUUCUUUCUUUGGCUUAUUUCAUGUAACAUGGGGAUUUCUUGUAAUUUUGUUUUGUUCAUGAAGAUGCAGAAUCAAGAGGAGACCUAAACAAGCUUCUUCUCAGUUCAGAAAAAAACUCAUUUCUGGCAUAACUCGGCAAUCCCACUCAAAAGGAGGAGCAGUAUCACUUAACCUGUUCAUAUUACCCCCAAUAUGAAUUAUCAUCCUCGAUGGCCACUCCAGGGAAGGAUUCUCAUCAAGAAUCACUGUUGCUGGAGGUUUCUCGCAAUGCACAGCACCGAUAGGCAAAACUUCUUUGUUACCCACACCAUCUCUACAAUAAGAGGGUGUGCAUGUGCGAAAAGAAGGAUAUGAUGAUCUACUUAUCAGCUCAUAGGAAUGACAGACUAUUUUUCUUUCUUUAAGUGCUUAUCAGGUAAAUAUUUGUCCACAUGGUAAUAGAAAUCAUAUGGUGCCAAGUGAUGGGGAACUUCGCUGGUUGUCUACAUGAUGGCUCGGGGCCAUGCUUGAUGCUCGUGCCAUGGGACACAUUACAAGCCCCCUCACCCACCCUGACGAGAAGGGCGGCAAGACGACAAUUGCUUGCUGAUUUUUAUCGUUGCAUAAAUAUGCUUAUUGUUACAGUGCUUGUCGCUGAGCUGGAGAUGGAAAGAACCAAUCUUACUUUACUGUUGUGUGAGAAUUAUUAGUCUGCAAAUUGAUUACUAAUCCCUCCGUCUCAAAAUAAGUGACUCAACUUUGUACUAGCUUUAGUACAAAGUUAGUACAAAGUUGAGUCACUUAUUUUGGGAUGGAGGGAGUAUUUUUCUAUCCUUUGGUGAAAUGACCAGGAGCAAGCAAGAUGUUGCCAAUACUUGCGAGAUGAUAGUGUACUUGGCCUUGACUUCCUUUUCUGGUCCUAACCAAUUAGUGUAAUGUUUUUCAUUGUUUAUUAUCCUCGGUGCAUACAAAAAAUUACUUGAGUCUCAGGUAGCCAGGUUGCAUUAUCACCAUCUUAUAAAUAUUUGUUGUGCAGGUCUGAGCUAUGUGCAAGGAAGCUCAAGACAUUGGAGGAAAGCAUUGUCGGAUAUGUGGUAUCCUGACCCUCUUACUUGGGACUGGGAUAAGUUACAAUCUUACAUGUUCUGAGUUCUGUACUCCCAUGUACUUGGGUCAAGAAUUUAUCUUGACAUUAUUUUAAAAUUUUCUCUAAGAUGUGCAUAUCACCGCUGAAUUUUUUGCAAUAUAUAAAUUCAGUGUUAUUGUGAACACUUGAACUAUACAUACAGAUGUGUAGAAUGAGAUUGUUGUAUACAGGACUGAGGUUAUCCUUUAGUCAGCUAAAUAGUGAAUAGUUUACUGAUGUA
Molecule: long non-coding RNA, 2184 nt
Organism: Triticum aestivum (bread wheat)
Lineage: Eukaryota; Viridiplantae; Streptophyta; Magnoliopsida; Poales; Poaceae
Exons: 3
Source: RefSeq, a predicted model, not a curated record